UGGGCAGUGAUGAGCUGCGCAGGGGUACGGACCUCAGCUGAUAAUGGGGGCUGAGUGCUGGUGUCUAACCUCAGUUCAGUCGGCAUGUGGUCAACUGACUGAGGGAUGCCGGCAUGAACAAGUCGCAUGUACUGAGCCCA
Small nucleolar RNA from Trichomycterus rosablanca, 140 nucleotides. RefSeq annotates it as small nucleolar RNA SNORD94. Lineage: Eukaryota; Metazoa; Chordata; Actinopteri; Siluriformes; Trichomycteridae. The transcript has a single exon. The record is from RefSeq and is a predicted model, not a curated record.